UACGAAGGGGGCUAGCGUUGCUCGGAAUCACUGGGCGUAAAGCGCACGUAGGCGGCUUCUCAAGUCAGGGGUGAAAUCCUGGAGCUCAACUCCAGAACUGCCUUUGAUACUGAGAGGCUCGAGUCCGGGAGAGGUGAGUGGAACUGCGAGUGUAGAGGUGAAAUUCGUAGAUAUUCGCAAGAACACCAGUGGCGAAGGCGACUCACUGGCCCGGUACUGACGCUGAGGUGCGAAAGCGUGGGGAGCAAACAGG
RNAcentral lists this ribosomal RNA (253 nucleotides) under uncultured bacterium. RNAcentral describes it as "partial 16S ribosomal RNA". It matches the Rfam family "Bacterial small subunit ribosomal RNA", at positions 524 to 776 of the family's 1533-position model. The record is from RNAcentral.